This 1125-nucleotide ribosomal RNA is filed under the name Triticum aestivum (bread wheat). RNAcentral describes it as "partial small subunit ribosomal RNA". Lineage: Eukaryota; Viridiplantae; Streptophyta; Magnoliopsida; Poales; Poaceae. The record is from RNAcentral.
CCUCCAGAGCUUCCUGACGAUGUCGUGGAGGAAGUUCUCCGGCGUCUCCUGCCGGACGAGCCGGCCCACCUCGCCCGCGCAUCACUCGUCUCCAAGCCCUGGUGCCGCCUCCUCUGCAACCCCGCCUUCCGCCGCAGCUACCACAGGGCGCCACCCAUGCUGGGCUUCUUCCACAACGCUGGCUCCUACGACCACCCGGUGGCCCGCUUCGUCCGCUCCAAAGCCUUGUGCCCGCGCUAUCCGGAUAUCAGCAACUUCCGUGUUCGUGACUGCCGACACGGCCGGGUCCUCCUCCAAGCCAGUAGGAGCUCUCUGUUCGUCGUCUGGGACCCCAUGACGGGCAGCCGGAGGGAGGUGCGCCUGCCUGCUGGCCUGGUGGCCUACGAGUAUGAUGUUGUGGUGCUGUGCGCUUUGGGAGGAGCCUGCAACCACCACGCCUGCCAUGAGGGCCCCAUCCUCGUGGUAUACGUAGGCAUCAAAGUCAUGACAAAGGCAAUAAGCGCCUGCGUGUACUCGUCUGACACGGGCAAAUGGAGCGCGCAGACUUCUGCGUACAUCCCCAAAAAGCGUUGGAGUUGUGUAGUCAGUACUGCCAUUGUCGGAGGUGCACUCUAUUUGCUCUGCUCUGAUUACGGUAAGAAUCGCCAUGAAAUUCUCAAGUAUGACUGGAGCAGGCAUUGCCUAUCUGUGAUUGACAUGCCGCGUUGGGUUAAUUCUGGUCCUUCCUGCUGUCCCCUUCUUGCGGCACCGGAGGAGGGUAGGCUGGGAUUUGCCCAACUGAUAACGUACUACGGUACCCAACCGAGAGCCCUCCUCCGCAUGUGUUCAAGGGACGUGAAUGCCGAUGGGGACGGGUCCAUUUAUGCAUGGACAGAUCGCAGAGAAAUUGAUCUCAACGCACUCCUCCCAACUGGAGAUCGCGCGACCAAAUUAUACUUGCAUGGCUCUGUGGAAGGCACUGACAUCGUUUUCAUCGUCGCAAAUAGCUCUCCUUUUGUCCUCUAUGAGAUUGAUCUCAAGUCCCUGCAGACCAGGAAAUUGUAUGAAGGAAAAGGAGAAGGAAGAAUCACCCAUAAUAUCUUCCCCUUCAUGAGCUUCUACACUCCAGCAGGUACCCUCCUUUUU